Molecule: long non-coding RNA, 4167 nt
Filed under: Solanum lycopersicum (tomato)
Lineage: Eukaryota; Viridiplantae; Streptophyta; Magnoliopsida; Solanales; Solanaceae
Description: long non-coding RNA (SLYC_LNC000223)
Source: RNAcentral
AAUAAACCGACCUUCCUCGUUCUUCUUCUUCCUCGUAGUGAGUCUGCCUCACGCGCUGCGGAAGUGCGGAAAAUGCAGCUUUAGCAAAAAGCAGUGAUAAAACGCGACCAAUCGUGUGCCUGACCGUUUCUAGUCGUCUUCCUCGCUACAUCAUCAAUUCUUACGUUUUCAGCAGAGAGGAUUCUUCCUUCGCAGGCCAGGUGGAGCAAUCUUCGCCAUCGUUCGUCCUUGAGGCGAAAUCGGACGACUCUCGUUUUGUUUUUUUGUUGAGAAAUUUUACAAUUUUCCUACUAUUGACAGCUUCAACCUUAUCUCUUCGUGGAUUUGAAUUUCAAAAUGGGGAAGAGAUCCCGAUUUCGCCCCAAUCUUUUGGGGAAUUUCUCCCGCUUUCUUCAUCCCAAAACCCUGGAAGACCCCUAUCGGUCCUAGGCUUUUUAUUAGUUAGUCCUGGUAAAGCCCCAGGCGUCGUAUUUUUUUGAAACGAGGCUCUCGGUAACGCGACAUAAAGACAUAGAAUGCAAUGUAAGGGUUACGACGGAUGGACCUUACUAAGGCAAUUUCUAAGAUAAGAUGGACGACUCGGCUGCCUUCCCGGUAAAAAUCUUUCCCCACGGUUGCAACAAGAAAGCAAAAGCCCGUCGUACCUAGCGCCAUCUGAAUAGUUUUCAAAGCAAGCAGUACGCUGCAACAGAGCCCAUUCAGUAUCGUCUUUGUUUUAGAAUAUAUAUAUAUAUAUAUAUAUAUAUAUAUAUAUAUAUAUAUAUAUAUAUAUAUAUAUAUCUCUUUUUGUUCAGUUCAGGGGAGAUUUUUUUUACUCGAAUUUUGAGAGGCAGAUAACAGGGAGUGAAAUUUUAGUCUUUAAAAUUUUGGGAGAGAAAUUUGGGUGAGUAAUAAAUAACAAAGAGAUUUUUCCUUUCCAGAGUAUACAAGAAACAUUUCGAAUUCUUAGCCAAGACGCUUCAGCUUUAGUUCCAAGAGAACAGGGAAUCAAAUUUCAGUCUGAGUCAAACAUCGGGUAUUAUUUCUCUAUUUAUUAUUCGUAGCCAGAGUUAGGGUGGUGGAAGUUGUGUUCUCGAGUUCGUUUCUAGCAAGUUUCGCUGCACCAUAAAAAGGUAAACCACUGGUAAUAUUUUUCUUUUUGCUUGUUUCGACUUCUCUGUGUUCUUUUUGUUUGCUAUUGCUAUAAGAAUCGUUAGUAGUUUAUUGUUAAACAUAUCUAAAUCUAAGGCCGUUUUUUCACUGUUAGAUUUUGUUCAGUUAGUAUUUUGAGUUUCGCUGUUUCAAUCUAUUCUAUUUUGUUAAUUGAAAAUAUGACCCUAAUAUGUGUGUGGGCUGUGUGUAUAUUGAUCAUUUAUUUAGCCUAAAAAUGCUAUUGCGUCAAGUAUUCAUGGCUGCAUUUAAUUAGCAUUCACAUCGUUUUACUCGUCUUAAGUGUAUUGCUUCUUCAUCAUCCUUUGUUCUCCUUUUUUUUGGCUUUUGUUUUGAUAUUUAAAAUGUUUCCAAUCCCUUAAAAGCUGUCCUAGCGUCUGAUGUGUUGCCUUCAUGAGAGUUAUUGCCUAGAGUUUUUUUCUCAUUGGGUUAAUAUGAAGAUUGCAUGCUAUUUCUAAUAUCUUAGUUAUUUCUAAUAAUAUUGAUUCAUGGGAUGAAGGCAUUUUGUCGAUAGGUUGCAAUUCUGUUGAUUUCUUUCCCGUAAUUUCGAAACUCACUAUAUCGUUUUGUCAUAUCACAUAAUUUAGCAUGUUUUUAUCUUUUUUUUGUUUUCCUUUUGUUUUCAUUCUUAAGAUAGUCAAAUUCUAAUUUAUUUCCUUGAGGCAUGUGAACUAUGACCUGUAUUCUGUUCUCUUGUUCUUGAAAUCCCUCUCUUCUCGUUUUUCUUUUGACUAUUUUCAAAUGGGGUUGUAUGAGUCUGCAUAUUGAUUCUUAGUAAUAGUAGAUUAUCAAAAACAACUUAUUGUUUCGUAGUGCCUUUUCGCAUUCUUAAAGGCCAUGAGUAAGUUUGCCAUAGUUCUUUAGUUGUUAUAUAGUUUUCAGUUCAUGUUAUGUGUUUUCUGCUAGUUUGAGAUAUGCUUAAUUGACACAUAUAGCAAAGUUUCAUUUUCUGCUUGGAAUAUGCUACCGCAAAAUUGCUGACCAGAUUUGGCAUACGAAAUUGGAUUGAAUUUUUUUUAAACUCUUGAAUGUUGCUUGCCUACAUAUAGUUAUCCUAUUUUACUUAUUAGCUGUGGUAUGUGUACUGAUCCAAGGAUCAAACUCAUCAGUUUAUUCAUGCCAUAAAAUAUUUGCUUGGCUAUAUGAAGCUUGUGUCCAGUUAUCUUGUUAUAGGAAAAGCAUGUUGUGAGAAUUUUUUAGGAAAUGAAAAGGAAAAAUCGAUCCAUGCACUUUGUUCAUCUUUAAUUUAUUUUUCAUAUACUCAUUCUGAUUAAAUUUUCCGCUUAUUACAUUUUCUAUUACCUGUUGGGUUCUAGCAAUAAUUGAAUUUAAUUUGCAUAUGGGAGUUAAUCAUUAAGUUUCUUUCCAAAUUUAGAUAAUGUAAAUUUUUGAAUAUUGUCUUUCCUUGGUGUGUCAUUAUUUUAUUCCAUGGCUAUGUUUUAUGGAAUAUCACAUCUUUGGACAGAGCAUGGUCAUUUUUAGUUAUCACUGAAGCGAUUUUCCCCUAGAACAUAUUGAUUAGUUUGUUCAAUUCUUAACCAUCUGGAAUCACUGUAAUCUUUUAUCUUUAGAAAGUGAUUUUUUGGUGCUUGCAUGUGAAAAAAUAAUAAAUAAAUUCACCGUCAAGUUUGCUUGUCUAAAAUAGCUUGUUCUGAAUUUGUCCGCUUUUAAUAAAAACUGAUAGCUUUCCUUAAUUAGUUGUUUCUUUGUUCGAUAAAUACUAAUCCUUUUAUCAUUUUUGCAUUUAAAAUCCGUUCGAGUUCCAUCAUGAACUCACGCUCCCCUUGCAUUAUUGGAGAGUCGUAAAGACUCAUAAUUCCUCUUUUCGAGUCAAUCCAUAAAGAUGAUUAACGGACUUUGGAGUCGAAAAUUGAAGCAAGUCGGAAGAGUUGAAGAGAUUGGGACAAUUAACCCAAGUUUAUUUUAUUAUCGUAUUGUAUUUAUAUUGGAUAUCAGCCUUUGUCGCUUUUUAUUUUUUGUAUUUAUUAUUUGUUAAGACUAAGACAGGUAUGUAAGAAAAUGGGUCGAAAACCCAAAAAGUCAAAUGGGUCAAAACCCAAAAACAGGUGGGUCCAAAUGCCGGUCAAGGCAAACUUCAAACCCGGAUUUUGACCCAAAUCUCUCUCCCUCCCUUCCUCUCUCUCUCUCUCUACAUGCUUUUAAUUACUUAUCUGUUUGUUUGUCGCUAGUUUAAAGUUAGCAAGCUCCAAUCCCCGCAAACACCGCUUUGUUUUAACGACCUUAUGGAAUCAAAAUUAAGUAGUUUUUUUGAAAUAUUUCUUCAAGUUAGAUAUUUUACUUAAGUAUAAAACUAAGUUUUCAUUUCCCAUACAACUCUAAGUAUUUUUUAUUUUACACAAGUUUUUAGCCAAAUCGUUAGUUAUCGUAUAACCGCGAGUUAAUGGAAGUUUUAGGUGCUUUUAAACCUUCCUAAGACGUUAAUAGGAAUUCCCAAAUCGUUUAAAGUUUUCAAAUGAUUUUUUUGUUCAAGUCCUUGAAAAUAAGUUUUCUUAAUUUUCUCAAAAUUAAGUGGCGACUCUAAAGAGUCAAAACUUACAAAAAAAAUACUUUUAAUAAAUUAGAAAUGUCGACUCUGCCGGGCACUAGAAGGAUUCUAACCUUAAAACUAACAUUACUUGGCUUUAAUUACUUAUUUGUUUACUCUAUCAUAUUUAAAAUUGUUGCAUUUUCAUGAUAUAUUUUCGCCAAACGGCAAAUAGAUGCAUUAGGAAAAUGAAAUUUACGUGUCUUUUUACAGCUUUCUUCAGAAAUACACAAUAGUUUCAUUUGGAGACAUCAAACGAAUAGUUGGAAUGCGGUCAUCUGUCAUCGUUUGGUAGCUUCACCACGAUGUUUUUCCGACUCGAAUAACCGUCAACUUGAAAUCUAUUCUAGUAAACCUAAGCUAGAGCGAAAUCAAAAUAAAAAAAAAAAAGCAUUAGCCUAAGACGGCUUAACACCCAAGGUGUAUUAAUUCAAUUUAGUAGAAAAUUGGCAAAACCGUGUCCAAGGUCUCCU